CAGAGGGCGCGAGCGUUGUCCGGAAUCACUGGGCGUAAAGGGCGCGUAGGUGGCCACUAUAAGGCCGCGGUGAAAGUUCGGGGCUCAACCCUGAAUCGGCCGCGGCGACUGUAGGGCUUGGGCACUGUAGAGGCAGAUGGAAUUCCGGGUGUAGGCGGUGGAAUGCGUAGAGAUCCGGAAGAACACCGGUGGCGAAGGCGGUCUGCUGGGCAGUGGACCCGUGAGGGUCCCAAUAGCCGACACUGAGGCGCGACAGCGUGGGGAGCAAACAGGAUUAGAUACCCUGGUAGUCCACGCCGUAAACGAUGGGCACUAGGUGCUCCGGGGAGCGACCCUUGGAGUACCGGCGCUAACGCAUGAAGUGCCCCGCCUGGGGAGUACGGCCGCAAGGCUG
This 394-nucleotide ribosomal RNA is filed under the name uncultured organism. RNAcentral's name for it is "bacterial SSU rRNA". It matches the Rfam family "Bacterial small subunit ribosomal RNA", at positions 526 to 896 of the family's 1533-position model. The record is from RNAcentral.